ACUUUUAGUGGUGGCCUAAUGGUUACGGUGUUGGACUCUGGAUUGAGUGGCCUGGGUUUCAAGCCCUGGUCGGGGUC
This is a non-coding RNA of Desmophyllum pertusum, 77 nucleotides long. Lineage: Eukaryota; Metazoa; Cnidaria; Anthozoa; Scleractinia; Caryophylliidae. The record is from the annotation of a GenBank genome assembly.